This 1397-nucleotide long non-coding RNA is filed under the name Piliocolobus tephrosceles (Ugandan red Colobus). Its description in RNAcentral is "lncRNA (ENSPTEG00000009851.1)". Lineage: Eukaryota; Metazoa; Chordata; Mammalia; Primates; Cercopithecidae. The record is from RNAcentral.
UUAAUAAUAGAAAAGAAGAAAUAAAUUUUCAUAUCGCUUCUAUUAACUCCGAAUGUUUACAUAUUAUAUCUAACAUAUAUUAUAAAAGUAUAUAUAUUUAUAUGAAUAAUUCAAAAAAUUACUCAAUCAAUUGUGAAAAUAAAGACAGUGAUGAUAGUUCCAAUGAUAAAACAAAAAAAAAUGCAUCAAGUUGUAAUGAUACACUAAGUACAGACUUUACAUCACUUGAUAAAGAUGUAGAAUUUAAAAAAAAAAUGUACAUAUUUUUAUUAACAUGUUUUGUUUUAUCACUUGCAUGCUCUUUUAGUUCCAAAAAAACAAGAAGUGAAGCAUAUAUAAAACUACAGCAGUUUUUAUUUAAUGAAAAUUAUAUUUGCAAAGGUAUGCAAAAAGGAACCAAUCACCAAAAAAAUAACAAAACUAAUAAUAAAAAUGAAAUCAAUAAUAAAAAUGAUAAAAAUUCACAACAUGAAAAAUAUUUAUAUAAAGACGAAAAAUUAAUUGAACUGAUUAGCAAUUUUAUUAUUUUACCAUUAAUUACGUAUAACUAUUACUUCCCAUUUAUUUGUAAAAACAUGCAUGAAAAAAGUGGUAAUGUCAGUGAUAACGACGAGCAGGUAACAAAUAAGAACUACAACAAUAAUAUCAACAUUACCUGUUGGAACGCCAAAAAAAGAUAUUACAAAGAAUCAUUACUCACAUACAAUUUAAAUAAUAAAAAAAGUAAAAAUAUAUCGGAUACAAUGAAGGAUGAUACUAUGUACGAAAACUGUGGAUGUAUUAUUAACAAUAAGAACUUAGAAACAAAUGGACAUAAUAUAAAUGUACUAAAUGAUGUAUUUAGUUAUGCUAAUGAUCAUUAUAUACAUACCAUAUUACAUAAACAGUAUAACUAUUACUUCAGUUAUUUGUAUGCCAAAAAAAUGUUAAGUUAUGAUAAUGUUUGCUAUCGUAAAAGCAUGAGUAUCAGUUUUGUAAGUCACAUCAUUUUAUCCUUCUUGUAUUCUUUGUUAAAAUAUUCUGGCAACAACACUUCUUGUGAACACAUAUCUGAUGUUGGUUAUAGUGAUGGUAUUAAUCCAAGUACUGACACAGACCCAAUUGGAACUACCGAGCAAACAUCUACUUGUAGGAUGUCUGAAGGAGAUAUCAAUUUAUACGAAUUACUAUGUAUAAACAACGAAAAAGUAAGUAAUAAAGUUUUAAAAAAGAAUAAAUGUGAAGAAGAUUGUAUUUAUUAUUUUUUAAAACACUUUUAUCAUGCUUUAUUAACAAUAAAAGAAGAAACGACAAAAAUUUUAUAUAUUUAUAAAGAAACAUUUAUUGAAAAUAUAAAAAAUAUAAUUUAUGUUUCGUCAUCUUAUGUAUAUACACUAAGUGGUAAUCAUCGCAUAAAU